GCAGCAUCCCUCUAUAAGAUCACUGAGAUGAGUUGAUGAGAAGCCUCCUCUAAUUCAUGUGGAGUGGUUUGUCUGUCUCAUUCUUUCUGUCUCCUUAACAGUGAGUCAACAUGAUCAGUAUUCUUAUCUCCAUCACCAUGGGUUACACAGUCUGGGCUGCAGCCAUAAGUAAUACUGCCGAAGGCGGCCCAGACUCGGGCCACAUGACGUCGGCCGAGUUUAACUCUCAGGCGGAAUCGGCCCAGAUCCACUGUGCUAGCUGGGAUAUCUACCAUUAUGGGUUUCAUUCUCACUGUGUCCUUACAGGUCUUGUUGAGGGGAGUGAAGUCACUCAGACACCCACCAUACUCUGGGAACUGAAAGAAAGUGAUGCUCAGAUGAACUGCAGUCACACUAAGGAUUCUAGCUACUUCCAGAUGUACUGGUACAGACAGCUUCCAGGAGAGGGAAUGAAGCAGGUAGUCUUCAUUACUCCCAGUUCUCAACCUGACUAUUCAGGGGAAUUCAGUAAAGACAAAUUCUCAGCCAGAAAGGCUGUAGCUGAGAGUGGAUCUUUCACAGUGAAGAAGUUGGAGACAGGAGACAGUGGAAUGUACUUCUGUGCUGUGAGUGAACACAGUGAUACAGACAACAA
Molecule: non-coding RNA, 634 nt
Organism: Oncorhynchus nerka (sockeye salmon)
Lineage: Eukaryota; Metazoa; Chordata; Actinopteri; Salmoniformes; Salmonidae
Source: the annotation of a RefSeq genome assembly